Molecule: ribosomal RNA, 418 nt
Filed under: uncultured bacterium
Lineage: Bacteria
Description: bacterial SSU rRNA
Rfam family: Bacterial small subunit ribosomal RNA
Source: RNAcentral
GGAAUAUUGCGCAAUGGAGGCAACUCUGACGCAGCCAUGCCGCGUGCAGGAAGAAGGCGCUACGCGUUGUAAACUGCUUUUAACCGGGAAGAAACCCCAGGACGUGUCCUGGGUUGACGGUACCGGAGGAAUAAGCACCGGCUAACUUUGUGCCAGCAGCCGCGGUAAUACGAAGGGUGCAAGCGUUAUCCGGAUUCAUUGGGUUUAAAGGGUGCGUAGGCGGGGCGUUAAGUCAGUGGUGAAAUCUUGCAGCUCAACUGUAAACUUGCCAUUGAUACUGGCGCUCUUGAGUGCGCUUGAAGUAGGCGGAAUGUGUCGUGUAGCGGUGAAAUGCUUAGAUAUGACACAGAACACCAAUUGCGAAGGCAGCUUACUAAGGCGAUACUGACGCUGAGGCACGAAAGCGUGGGGAUCGAAC